RNAcentral lists this ribosomal RNA (257 nucleotides) under uncultured bacterium. Its description in RNAcentral is "partial 16S ribosomal RNA". It matches the Rfam family "Bacterial small subunit ribosomal RNA", at positions 524 to 776 of the family's 1533-position model. The record is from RNAcentral.
UACGUAGGGUGCGAGCGUUGUCCGGAAUUACUGGGCGUAAAGAGCUCGUAGGUGGUUUGUCGCGUUGUCCGUGAAAACUCACAACUCAAUUGUGGGCGUGCGGGCGAUACGGGGCAGACUGGAGUACUGCAGGGGAGACUGGAAUUCCUGGUGGUAGCGGUGGAAUGCGCAGAUAUCAGGAGGAACACCGGUGGCGAAGGCGGGGUCUCUGGGCAGUAACUGACGUGGAGGAGCGAAAAGCGUGGGGAGCGAACAGG